This is a long non-coding RNA of Nematostella vectensis (starlet sea anemone), 358 nucleotides long. RefSeq lists it as uncharacterized. Lineage: Eukaryota; Metazoa; Cnidaria; Anthozoa; Actiniaria; Edwardsiidae. The record is from RefSeq and is a predicted model, not a curated record. The transcript is spliced from 3 exons.
GUGUCUAGCUACAUAGUAUCUUAUUUCAGUAUCUCAAGUUAAUGCUUUUGGGGCAAAACUAUCUACUCUACACUGAGUGUCUAUCUUUGUGUUUGUUUGGAGACCCAGCAUUUCUGUGAUGUCUUAUUCAUACUGGUUGAGACAAGUCUAUGAUAAAAUCUAAUCCAACUGAGAAAUGGCAGCUAAAGAGAAGCUGAGAGCAAAGGCAGCUACUAAGAAGCAAUAACUGCCCAACCCGCUGCCCAACGACAGAAGGCUCAGAAGAAUGUCAAGCAGAUGGCUGCCAAGCCUCGUGUGGGAGGCAAGCGAUAAGCUUGGCACUGCUCUGUAAAUUACCCUAAUAAAACUCUGCUCAAAA